Molecule: long non-coding RNA, 225 nt
Filed under: Lathyrus oleraceus (garden pea)
Lineage: Eukaryota; Viridiplantae; Streptophyta; Magnoliopsida; Fabales; Fabaceae
Description: Pisum sativum (pea) long non-coding RNA (PSAT_LNC023302)
Source: RNAcentral
UUUCAUGAAGAGGCGACAAUAGCAUUGACACAUGCAUUGACUCUCAUGAGGAGGCGCCAAUGUCCCUGACGCCUGAGUGGUGCAUGUGGUGUAUGCGUCAAUUCAUCUGGUGCAUACACCCCUUGUAUUAUUUAUUUAAUUGUUUUAAUUUUUUAAUUUUUAAUUUUGUUUAUUUCAUAAAUAAAAAAUAAUAAUGUAAAAAAAAAUUAUUCAUGUGGUAAUAAU